GGCUUCGUUGCUCAUUUGACUAGAGCGUUGGCUGUACUUAAGCCUUCCCCUUGCUGGCGUGGGUUCGAAUCCCACAGAAGCCA
This 83-nucleotide transfer RNA is filed under the name Schistocephalus solidus. It matches the Rfam family "tRNA". From Rfam's summary of the family: Transfer RNA (tRNA) molecules are approximately 80 nucleotides in length. Their secondary structure includes four short double-helical elements and three loops (D, anti-codon, and T loops). The record is from Rfam by way of RNAcentral. Lineage: Eukaryota; Metazoa; Platyhelminthes; Cestoda; Diphyllobothriidea; Diphyllobothriidae.